GGGCGCGUGGUCUAGGGGUAUGAUUUUCGCUUCGCAUGUGAAAGGUCAGGGGUUCAAUUCCCCUCGUGUCCA
Non-coding RNA from Trichoderma gamsii, 72 nucleotides. Lineage: Eukaryota; Fungi; Ascomycota; Sordariomycetes; Hypocreales; Hypocreaceae. The record is from Rfam.